CCAAUAUAGAGGAAUGCUAGGGCGGUGAGGUAGGAGUGGAACACAGGAGAUAUUUUUAUAUAUUAAAUGUAUAAUGGAUGGAAGACAUCAUCAUGGAUUGUACCUCCUUGGAACUCAUUACAUUUUGGAAUCAUUGACACUGUGAAGUGGGGCAUGUUGGUCUAACCUGACCUUGUCACGGAGUAACUCUGGAGUGAGUUCAGCCUAUCCAGAAUUUUUGGAGUCAUCUACACAGUGGAAGCAAGACAGGUGGGCUGUGUCAGGUCUAAUGGCUUUACAAAAGCCCGAUGCUCCUACCUUAAUGCAGUCCUUUUGCUGCACCAGCUAGAAUGACUGCAUUCUCAAAGUGCCUCCUGUGGAACAACUGGCAUCUUUCUCAAAGUGGAUCUUCAUAGGGGUCAUGAGAAGACACUAGAUUCCUUGGAACUCAAGUUACAGUUGGUGGUGAGCUGCCAUGUGAGUACUGAGAAUCAAACCUGGGUCCCUUGCAAGAAAAAAAA
This is a long non-coding RNA of Mus caroli (Ryukyu mouse), 500 nucleotides long. RefSeq lists it as uncharacterized. NCBI's taxonomy places the organism in Eukaryota, Metazoa, Chordata, Mammalia, Rodentia, Muridae. The record is from RefSeq and is a predicted model, not a curated record.